AAUUCUCAACUGCACUGACUUUGAUUGGUGUGGCUUGGAUUUGGGGGGAAAAUUGUUGUGGGCUUUUGUCUGCUCCCCUGAAAUUAAUUAGCAGUACCUUGGUGGAACUGUCUACAGAUGUGAUAAAUAUCUACAUCCUAGAUGUCUGCUUAAUGUAAUGCUGCUUUCUAAACCCUUUACCUGUAUUGACAA
Molecule: unclassified non-coding RNA, 192 nt
Filed under: uncultured Inocybe
Lineage: Eukaryota; Fungi; Basidiomycota; Agaricomycetes; Agaricales; Cortinariaceae
Description: sequence contains ITS2
Source: RNAcentral